AGGAGAUGCUGCUUACUGGCAGGGUGCAGCUCUUGACUUCGAGGAAGUCGGCCCUAAUGGUGUGAGCACCUUUGUGGUGCCCCAAAGGUUCUGCCCUGGAAUCUAUUGAGGGAACAGGAGAAGACAGAUAUAUCCCAAAGAUGGAGCAGGAAAGCUUCAGCCAGACAGUCCCUGAUGCCAUCAGCAAGUGACAGAUGGAGAAGGGGACUGCAAGUUGCAAGGAAACAGGCCAGCAAAUGGACUUCAGGACCUCACUAAGAUGCAACUAGCUUAAGCAGUGCCUGAAGUACCAGACAACCCUGGAGCUACAGGAAGAUAAUUGCUAGAACCGUCCAAUUAAAAGGGAAGACCAUACAGAAAAGAAGUGCACAUGCUUGCUCUCUUGACCCAAAACAUCCUGGCAAGCAGUCUGAAGAAAGAAGAAAUGGAAGGCAUCAGACUUGGAAUGUUGGAGCUUGGCAGCCAAGUUAUUGAGCCAUAGAGCAUUACAAUUAAGCUGUUUCAUUGCAGUUGGCUGAAG
Phasianus colchicus (ring-necked pheasant) is the source of this 520-nucleotide long non-coding RNA. RefSeq lists it as uncharacterized. The record is from RefSeq and is a predicted model, not a curated record. Lineage: Eukaryota; Metazoa; Chordata; Aves; Galliformes; Phasianidae.